GGUCCUACGGGGGGCAGCAGUAGGGAAUCUUUCACAAUGGGCGAAAGCCUGAUGGAGCAACGCCGCGUGCAGGAUGAAGGCCUUCGGGUUGUAAACUGCUUUUAUAAGCGAGAAAUAUGAUGGUAACUUAAGAAUAAGCAUCGGCUAACUCCGUGCCAGCAGCCGCGGUAAUACGGAGGAUGCGAGCGUUAUCCGGAUUUAUUGGGUUUAAAGGGUGCGUAGGCGGAUUUUUAAGUCAGCGGUAAAAUGUCCGGGCUCAACCCGGGCCGGCCGUUGAAACUGGGGAUCUUGAGUGGGCGAGAAGU
This 305-nucleotide ribosomal RNA is filed under the name uncultured bacterium. RNAcentral's name for it is "bacterial SSU rRNA". It matches the Rfam family "Bacterial small subunit ribosomal RNA", at positions 335 to 658 of the family's 1533-position model. The record is from RNAcentral.